GUUUUUUUAGUUGAAUAACAACGGUGGUUUUUCACGUCACAGGUUCUGGUUAGAGUCCAGGAAGAAACU
Molecule: transfer RNA, 69 nt
Filed under: Marilyna darwinii (Darwin toadfish)
Lineage: Eukaryota; Metazoa; Chordata; Actinopteri; Tetraodontiformes; Tetraodontidae
Description: tRNA-Glu
Rfam family: tRNA
About the family: Transfer RNA (tRNA) molecules are approximately 80 nucleotides in length. Their secondary structure includes four short double-helical elements and three loops (D, anti-codon, and T loops).
Source: RNAcentral